UGCUGUUGAAUUACAAGGUGAUUGCAGUGCUCAAGUAGUGGAAAACCUAGAUUUCAAAAAUAGUUUUCGGUUUGGAUUUUAUUUUUCUUUUCUUGAUGUCACUUCAAAGAUAAACGGAACUUCCAGAUAACUGAAUAAGAGCUUUUAGAUGUAGACUUGCUAUGGGGAAAACCAUCUCUGUGUUUCCUAUGGGGAAGCCAACUUGUUUUAAAUAAUUAGAUUUUUACUGAGUGUUUUUCUUUACAUGUUUGUUUAAUUUUUAACACAGAACAUUAUCAAGAUGGUCUAAAUCCUGUUGACAUUUUUAUGGUUUUUUGCUGGUAAUGUUAUUAUUGGCAUAAGAAUAUUCCUUGAACAUUUUCUUGUGUCAUUUCAUCAUUUGUAUCAUAUGACUUUACAUUAUUAUACUACAAUUAUACUACAUACUUAAUUACAUACUUUGGUUUCUUUAAUCCCUAAUUCUGAAGUUAUGUUUCUUCUGAUGUUUUGGAAUUAUAAAUUACAAAGCAAAUGUAACUGCCCUUCAUGCACUUUCCUUUAUGUUUGAAGAUAUGUUUCUAGAGUGCAAGUUGUUUAGAUCAAUGUUUGUGAGUACAUUGGUAGCUUCUGACAUGGUUUUGAAAUUGCCUCAGAAUUGCACCAAUUUAUUUUGAUGGCAGCGGGGUGCGCAGAUGACCCUUUCCUCACACCAUCUCCGAUAGUGGUGUUCACCAAAACAUCUUUGUCCAAUAGUGCAAAAUGUCAUGCUAACCUUGUCUCAGUUUCAUGUCUUUAAUUCUGAAACUGGAAACAAAAACAAUGCGCCAGUGGGCCGUGGACACUUCUUCUGUGUAUGGCAUAGUGUGGCUUUUAUUCUUCUGUUCUAGUAUGUCCUCCCUGAUUUCUAGUCAUUUUUGAAUUACUUAUAGACAAUUAACAUUGCCCAGUAUAUUAUGAAAAUGUGUUUCCACUUUAUUGUUGCCUCUGAAAACAUUUUGAACAGAACCAUUUACAAGCAAGACUUGAAUUUUUCUUUUUUAUGUUGUCUUAGAUUGGUGUGAGUUUCCACCUUUGUGUACCAUGUUUUUCCUUUGAACUUCAGAACCAUUUUAUCACUGUCUCUCUUCCCUCUUGGGAAAAAGAAAACCAUCUUUUUCUUUUCUUUUGAAUUACUUACAACUAUGAAUUGAUUUAUAGAAUGCUAAAAUAUUUGUAAAAGCGAGCAUUUUCAUUGGGACUCAAAUUCUUCUGUGUGCCUUUUUCUCCUGGUGAUUUCUUUAAAUGGAUCUCUAAGGUGUUUUCCCGUCAGUAUUGAUUUGUUUUGCUGAAUACAUUUUUAUGUGUGCUGUUUUUCUCUCUAUUUCUGAACUAUAGCAGCAUUUUUGUGCAUUCUCUCUUACUCUCCACUGAAUGAUGAACCUUAUGAACUCCAAUUGUUCUCUCUCCAUUUCUUGUAUUUCUAAGAAGACCGACAUAUGAUUUGGGCUGACUUGGACUUCGCAGAUGCCUUUUAUGGUGGAGGAAAUCUCACAAUUGCAACUCUCAUUGUCACAAAGAGAUGACCCAGCACCUCCUAAUUCACCCAAGCCGAAGCCAAAUGCAAACCCUAAGCAACCUGGAUUUAUUGUCAUUUGACACUCCUCUCUGUGUCAGUGUCUGAGGCACCCUGGGACCAUCCUGACUGGAAAGCACAGUGACAUUGCUGGCCUGAGCUGAAGUGCUGAUUAAAAUAAAUUGAAAGCUGAAUGACCUUAUGAAGAGCUGCUUUACCCAGGAACAAAUAUGGAGAGGAACUCCUUGCAACUGUGUUCUCAAGUAGACCACUUUUGAGAAAUUAUACAUUUAUCAUAACACCUCAAGUCCUGCUCUGCA
Molecule: non-coding RNA, 1851 nt
Organism: Macaca mulatta (Rhesus monkey)
Lineage: Eukaryota; Metazoa; Chordata; Mammalia; Primates; Cercopithecidae
Source: RefSeq, a predicted model, not a curated record